Molecule: long non-coding RNA, 704 nt
Filed under: Piliocolobus tephrosceles (Ugandan red Colobus)
Lineage: Eukaryota; Metazoa; Chordata; Mammalia; Primates; Cercopithecidae
Description: lncRNA (ENSPTEG00000007017.1)
Source: RNAcentral
UAGCCGCUCUCCGAAGCCGGGCGUGCAUGGGAUGGCAGAGUUGGCGUGCGUGCGUGAGUCCACCAGUGUGGCCUGGGCAUGUAAGGUGUGCGGAGGGACUGGACCUUCUUCAUCAGGUGCUGAAGAUCUCUGCUUCUAGCUGUCCUUCCACUCUAUCAACGAAUAUUUCUUUUACAAAGCUAGGAGGCUCAGUAAGGUUAAAAAUAAUUCAGCUAUAUUGUGUUGAACAUAAUUGAAAUGUCAUAAACCAUCCAGAGAGCAGGAGAACCAGUUCUCUCUUGUUUCUAUUGGAGUAGUCUGUUUACAUUUCUGGUCCUGUCACUGAAGCUUGGACUGAGAGACCUGGUGAGGAAUGUUUCCUCCGGAGUUUCGACAGGCACAGCUAUUUAUCACUGCCUCAGAAGCUGCGUGGCUGCAGUGCGGAUAUCAGUGAUCCAAGAAGAUACAGGAAGAGGCUUGUGUGGGAGUCGCCUGGAGCCCUCCAUGGACAACCAGGGCCCCUCUCUUUGCCUUUCACUCUUCCUCCUACUGCUUAGAUCAAGUCUUCAGCAGACAUCAUGUGACCUUGAGGAUGGAUGUCACAUGCUGGAGGAAACAGAAGGCCGAAACCCUGAUGACUUCACAGAGCUGCCAAAACAGUUCCUGACUGUUUACUCCGGGGCUUUAACAAAGUGAUGAAAAUAAAUCCUUACAGUAUGAAAACA